GGCCGGCACGGGGCUGGCGCCGCGCCGCGUUCCGCUGACUGACGGCUUGCUAUGGAUUUAAUUCCAUCUGCCUUUGAUUCAGCUCGGAGGGCUGCGGAGCACGGCGGCUGCAGAGCACUCGCGCUGCGGAGCGCCCCGCACCGCGGGAAGGAAGGGAGGGAUGCUGGAGGGAAUUUGGUUUUAAUUUAGUCUUAGGGAAUUUAGUGUGUCUGACAAGACCAAAUCAUGUUAUUUGGCAUUUUUGGAACAAAUAGUGGCUUUUCCCCAGCACUUUUCUGUUAAAUUCCCCGUCCCCCCCCCGUAGUGGCACUGUAAACAAAUUUUCCCUCGUUUCUUUGAGAAUACUUUAUCUUUUGGUCAUAGAUUAUUAACGCUUUUAUUUACGCUUUGCUACUAUUUUUAGUGCCUAUUGCGUGAGAACAAUGAAAGCAGGAGGAUGUCAUGUGGUUGUGCAACAAUGCAGUGUGGAGCUAGACUUUCGCCCUCGAGUUCAGCAUUAAACACCAAAAACCAAUACUGGCAUUGUGAGCAUUGUGAGGCUGAUGAUGUUUGAACUGCAAAUCCAUGACUUGACAGAAAGUGUAUUCAAGCAGAUGUAAACAUAAUCUCAUUUUUGCCCCCAAAGUGUAUUGUGGUCAGUGAGUGUACAUCAGUAGUGGGUCUUUCUGGAUGUUUUAAGACUGGUACACAAAAAGCUGCAUAAUCAAGAGAAGACAGAUAAUAUUUCUUUAUACAUUUGCAUGCAGAAACCACAGGCUGUGUCAUACACUUAAGCAGAGGAUGUCUGUCAGCCCAGCUGAGCCGGGGACCUGUGGCCACAGCCACGUGUUGCUCAGUCUUAUCAAGUGUAAAAAAUGUGAUAUUUUUUUCUUGCAUAAACCAGAACAUUUAAAUACGGAAUGUUGGUUAUCCAGUGGAUCAGGCUAUGGCAUGCAUAGCACCACAGAUCAAGGGUCUACACACAUUUUCAUACAUUUCAUAUGUCCAUCCCACACCGAUUUUGUUCCAUCUCACAAAGCUUUUGUGGAUGCUAUCACACAACAAGACUUUACUGCAAACAGCCAGGCAAGUAAGACAUUGUGUUUAAGUAACACGCAUAGGAAAAUGUUUCAGAGUGUAGAACCAGCAACAUUAAGGGGAAAACUGAAGCAAUUGUGUGCAGCCAGACAAUUGCCCCUAAAAUGAUAAUACAAAGGUAACUGUGCUAUGAUUUAGAGGACCCUGGAGAUAUAGAUAACUGAUGAUACUUAAAGUUUUCAAUUAUUAUAAUUAAUCAAUAUGUAAACCAAGAAACAGGGCAGAACUCCAGGCUUUGGAGAGGAUGUUUCCCCUUGACAAGAAGUACUUCUGUGGCUGGAAAACCAGUCAGCACCCCCCACCUUCCACUCAAUGAUGCAGUCAGUGUGAUGUGAGCUCUCCCGAGUCUGAUUUUGGCUGGGGAUGGUCACUUGUGUCACUGACAGCUGCAGUAGAAUUGAAGGGAUUCUUCAGCUUUCCAAAAUAAUGAAAAAUCAGGGAGAUACAAUAGUGCUGCUUCUCAGAAGGCUGCCCUUCCCACUUGUUGCUUUGGGAUUAUCUCAGGUAAAGAACUGGUUAUAUGUUGGAAAGGGAAUUUUUCUCGGAAGUUUGCUGUGGCAGGAUUCACCACCAGGUGGAGAUUUUUUGCAUCAACGAAGCGCUCUUUUAGUUUUUAGCACAUAAACCAUCUUUGCUAAGAAUUAAUGUUAUUUUUCUUUCUGUUACUUGAAGUACCUUCUGGUCCAGGUCAGAGCAGCCUGUGGAACAGAGAACCUUCGUCAACCUCAGCCUUUUUGCAUUUGCUGACAUUUCUGCAAGAGGCAGUUCCCUGAAGCUAUUCCUGUUUCUAUUUUAGGUUUAACUGCCUAAAUUCACACCUUUCCAAGAGCCCAUUUUUCCCCACGCAGCCUCCGUGUGUUUCUGAUGUGGACAUUUGAUCACAGGCAGAUCUGAAAUACGUCAUGAGAUUUUGUAACUGCCCUUACAUAAAGAAACGUCAGCUGACAUUUUAUCUGCUUUUGGUCACCAGCUGCAACUCACAUUAAGAGGCAGUCCUGACUAUACUUUGGGAUUUAUUUCUCAUCCUGACCUCCGGUGUAGAAGAGGUAAAUCAUACAAGCCCAACAGAAAACAAUCAGCUUGUCUGGUUCUGUGGUUUCCAGGAGCUGUGGAAACUCUGUGCUGGUUGCCUCUCUGUUCAUUAAGUAAAUGAGGGCUUUGCAGCGUU
Molecule: long non-coding RNA, 2245 nt
Organism: Passer domesticus (house sparrow)
Lineage: Eukaryota; Metazoa; Chordata; Aves; Passeriformes; Passeridae
Exons: 3
Source: RefSeq, a predicted model, not a curated record